AUUGAACGCUGGCGGCAGGCCUAACACAUGCAAGUCGAACGGUAGCACAGAGAGCUUGCUCUCGGGUGACGAGUGGCGGACGGGUGAGUAAUGUCUGGGAAACUGCCCGAUGGAGGGGGAUAACUACUGGAAACGGUAGCUAAUACCGCAUAACGUCUUCGGACCAAAGUGGGGGACCUUCGGGCCUCACACCAUCGGAUGUGCCCAGAUGGGAUUAGCUAGUAGGUGGGGUAAUGGCUCACCUAGGCGACGAUCCCUAGCUGGUCUGAGAGGAUGACCAGCCACACUGGAACUGAGACACGGUCCAGACUCCUACGGGAGGCAGCAGUGGGGAAUAUUGCACAAUGGGCGCAAGCCUGAUGCAGCCAUGCCGCGUGUAUGAAGAAGGCCUUCGGGUUGUAAAGUACUUUCAGCGGGGAGGAAGGCGAUGUGGUUAAUAACCGCAUCGAUUGACGUUACCCGCAGAAGAAGCACCGGCUAACUCCGUGCCAGCCGCCGCCGUAA
Molecule: ribosomal RNA, 504 nt
Filed under: uncultured bacterium
Lineage: Bacteria
Description: partial 16S ribosomal RNA
Rfam family: Bacterial small subunit ribosomal RNA
Source: RNAcentral